Molecule: ribosomal RNA, 418 nt
Filed under: Streptomyces virginiae
Lineage: Bacteria; Bacillati; Actinomycetota; Actinomycetes; Kitasatosporales; Streptomycetaceae
Description: bacterial SSU rRNA
Rfam family: Bacterial small subunit ribosomal RNA
Source: RNAcentral
UGGCUCAGGACGAACGCUGGCGGCGUGCUUAACACAUGCAAGUCGAACGAUGAAGCCCUUCGGGGUGGAUUAGUGGCGAACGGGUGAGUAACACGUGGGCAAUCUGCCCUUCACUCUGGGACAAGCCCUGGAAACGGGGUCUAAUACCGGAUACCAUCCCUGCCCGCAUGGGCGGGGGUUGAAAGCUCCGGCGGUGAAGGAUGAGCCCGCGGCCUAUCAGCUUGUUGGUGGGGUAAUGGCCUACCAAGGCGACGACGGGUAGCCGGCCUGAGAGGGCGACCGGCCACACUGGGACUGAGACACGGCCCAGACUCCUACGGGAGGCAGCAGUGGGGAAUAUUGCACAAUGGGCGAAAGCCUGAUGCAGCGACGCCGCGUGAGGGAUGACGGCCUUCGGGUUGUAAACCUCUUUCAGCAG